UCAUCAUCAUCAUCAAUAAAA
Molecule: small RNA, 21 nt
Filed under: Arabidopsis thaliana (thale cress)
Lineage: Eukaryota; Viridiplantae; Streptophyta; Magnoliopsida; Brassicales; Brassicaceae
Description: ATSL232450
Source: RNAcentral